Small nuclear RNA from Monodelphis domestica (gray short-tailed opossum), 107 nucleotides. NCBI's taxonomy places the organism in Eukaryota, Metazoa, Chordata, Mammalia, Didelphimorphia, Didelphidae. The record is from Ensembl.
GUGAUGGCUUUGGCAGCACAUAUGCCAAAAAUGGAACAAUACAGAGAAGAUUACCAUGGCCCCUGAGCAAGGAUGACAUGCAAAUUCAUGAAGUGUUGGAUAUUUUU